UCUCGAUUGGUCUAGUGGUCAGGAUACCUGCUUGUCAUUCAAUGAUUCAGUAUCACAGAAAAAAUCGCAGGUGGCCGGGGUUCGAUUCCCCGAUCGAGAG
Xylaria telfairii is the source of this 100-nucleotide non-coding RNA. The record is from the annotation of a GenBank genome assembly. Lineage: Eukaryota; Fungi; Ascomycota; Sordariomycetes; Xylariales; Xylariaceae.